This 516-nucleotide ribosomal RNA is filed under the name Bacillus velezensis. RNAcentral's name for it is "bacterial SSU rRNA". It matches the Rfam family "Bacterial small subunit ribosomal RNA", at positions 276 to 783 of the family's 1533-position model. Lineage: Bacteria; Bacillati; Bacillota; Bacilli; Caryophanales; Bacillaceae. The record is from RNAcentral.
ACGAUGCGUAGCCGACCUGAGAGGGUGAUCGGCCACACUGGGACUGAGACACGGCCCAGACUCCUACGGGAGGCAGCAGUAGGGAAUCUUCCGCAAUGGACGAAAGUCUGACGGAGCAACGCCGCGUGAGUGAUGAAGGUUUUCGGAUCGUAAAGCUCUGUUGUUAGGGAAGAACAAGUGCCGUUCAAAUAGGGCGGCACCUUGACGGUACCUAACCAGAAAGCCACGGCUAACUACGUGCCAGCAGCCGCGGUAAUACGUAGGUGGCAAGCGUUGUCCGGAAUUAUUGGGCGUAAAGGGCUCGCAGGCGGUUUCUUAAGUCUGAUGUGAAAGCCCCCGGCUCAACCGGGGAGGGUCAUUGGAAACUGGGGAACUUGAGUGCAGAAGAGGAGAGUGGAAUUCCACGUGUAGCGGUGAAAUGCGUAGAGAUGUGGAGGAACACCAGUGGCGAAGGCGACUCUCUGGUCUGUAACUGACGCUGAGGAGCGAAAGCGUGGGGAGCGAACAGGAUUAGAU